RNAcentral lists this long non-coding RNA (1276 nucleotides) under Nicotiana tabacum (common tobacco). RNAcentral's name for it is "long non-coding RNA (NTAB_LNC016376)". Lineage: Eukaryota; Viridiplantae; Streptophyta; Magnoliopsida; Solanales; Solanaceae. The record is from RNAcentral.
GACCCAGAAGGGCCACUUAUGCUUUAUGUAUCCAAAAUGAUUCCAGCAUCAGACAAGGGUAGAUUCUUUGCUUUUGGUCGUGUGUUUGCUGGUAAGGUUUGUACUGGCAUGAAGGUCAGAAUCAUGGGUCCCAACUAUGUACCUGGUGAAAAGAAGGAUUUGUAUGUUAAGAAUGUGCAAAGAACUGUUAUUUGGAUGGGUAAGAAGCAAGAAACUGUUGAGGAUGUCCCCUGUGGUAACACUGUUGCUAUGGUCGGUCUGGAUCAAUUUAUUACCAAGAAUGCAACAUUGACCAAUGAGAAGGAAGUCGAGGCCCAUCCAAUCAGGGCAAUGAAGUUUUCUGUCUCACCAGUUGUGCGUGUUGCUGUUCAGUGCAAGCUUGCAUCUGAUCUUCCCAAGCUUGUUGAAGGGUUGAAGCGUCUGGCUAAGUCUGAUCCUAUGGUUCUUUGUUCUAUUGAAGAGUCUGGAGAGCAUAUCAUUGCUGGUGCUGGAGAACUCCACCUUGAGAUCUGCUUGAAGGACUUGCAGGAUGAUUUCAUGGGUGGUGCUGAGAUUAUAGUGUCUGAUCCUGUUGUGUCCUUCCGUGAGACUGUACUUGAGAAGUCUUGUCGGACUGUGAUGAGCAAGUCCCCUAACAAGCAUAACCGUUUGUACAUGGAAGCUAGACCCAUGGAGGAAGGGCUUGCUGAGGCUAUUGACGAUGGACGCAUUGGCCCUAGGGAUGAUCCCAAAGUUCGUUCCAAGAUCUUGUCUGAGGAGUUUGGUUGGGACAAGGAUCUUGCAAAGAAAAUUUGGUGCUUUGGUCCAGAGACAACUGGUCCCAACAUGGUGGUGGAUAUGUGUAAGGGAGUUCAGUACCUGAAUGAAAUUAAGGAUUCUGUUGUUGCUGGUUUCCAGUGGGCUUCCAAGGAAGGUGCAUUGGCUGAAGAGAACAUGAGAGGUAUUUGCUUUGAAGUCUGUGAUGUCGUUCUUCAUGCUGAUGCUAUUCACAGGGGUGGUGGCCAAGUUAUUCCCACUGCUAGGAGGGUUAUCUAUGCUUCUCAGCUUACUGCCAAGCCUCGCCUGUUGGAGCCGGUUUACCUUGUGGAGAUUCAGGCUCCAGAGCAAGCCCUUGGUGGCAUUUAUGGUGUUCUGAACCAGAAGCGUGGACAUGUGUUCGAGGAGAUGCAGAGGCCAGGGACCCCUCUUUACAACAUUAAGGCAUACCUUCCUGUCAUCGAGUCUUUUGGAUUCUCAGGUACCUUGAGGGCAGCUACUUCCGGUCAAGCUUUCCCAC